Long non-coding RNA from Trichechus manatus latirostris (Florida manatee), 353 nucleotides. RefSeq lists it as uncharacterized. The record is from RefSeq and is a predicted model, not a curated record. The transcript has 3 exons. Lineage: Eukaryota; Metazoa; Chordata; Mammalia; Sirenia; Trichechidae.
CGCCACCUAAUCCAACGCUUUUGAUGAGAAUGUUUUCAAACUGAUACACUGUCAUGAAUUUAUGGUUGUCAUUUUAAAACAGAAAUAAUAACAUGAACUUUGUUUAUUGUAAACAAGAAGAAAGACAACUCAGAAGCAGUGAGCAUUAAGAAAAAACAUAAACAAAUGCUUACAGAAAGAAAAAAAAAGGUCAGGUUUCAUUUCAACUAAAUAUUUAGCUCUUGUUAAUUUUAAGUUCAAAAGCCCUAAUGUCCACAGCAAGAGCAAGCAAAAACACAAACACAUGGACACUGAAUAAUGCCUUGCUUAAAAACCACUUAAUAGAAAAAAAAAAAAAGAUGAAAUAAAAACAU